AACUUAUCUAGAGUGGCGGAGGGAACUGACCCGAAGAAGCCCGGCAACCUAUUUGCUUGCCAAGCAAAUAAAGGUGCUACAUUCAGCAGGAUGCUAGUCAUUCUGAAAGAUAAGAA
Molecule: regulatory RNA element, 116 nt
Rfam family: SAM riboswitch aptamer (S box leader)
About the family: The SAM riboswitch is found upstream of a number of genes which code for proteins involved in methionine or cysteine biosynthesis in Gram-positive bacteria.
Source: Rfam